GAUGAACGCUGGCGGCGUGCCUAAUACAUGCAAGUCGAGCGAACGGACGAGAAUCUUGCUUCACUGAUGUUAGCGGGGGAAGGGUGAGUAGCACGUGUAUAACCUCCCUAUAAGACUGGGAUAACUUCCGGAAACCGGAGCUAAUACCGGAUGAUAUUUUGAUCAGUAUGAUUCCAAAGUAAAAGAAGCUCUUGCUGUCUUUGAUAGAUGUACCCGCGCUGCAUUAGCUAGUUCGUAAGGUAACGGAUUACCAAGGCAACGAUGCAUAGCCGACCUGAGAGGGUGAUAGGACACACUGGAACUGAGACACGGUCCAGACUCCUAUGGGAGGCAGCAGUGGAGAAUCUUACGCUAAGCGCGAAAGGCUGAUGGAGCAACGCCGCGUGAGGGAUGAAGUGCUUCGGAUCUUAAAACUCUGUUACUAGGGAAGAACACAUGUGUAAGUAAUUGUGCACAGCUUGACGGUACCUAAUCAGAAAGCCACGGCUAACUACGUG
Molecule: ribosomal RNA, 497 nt
Filed under: uncultured bacterium
Lineage: Bacteria
Description: partial 16S ribosomal RNA
Rfam family: Bacterial small subunit ribosomal RNA
Source: RNAcentral